RNAcentral lists this ribosomal RNA (490 nucleotides) under Bifidobacterium breve. RNAcentral's name for it is "bacterial SSU rRNA". It matches the Rfam family "Bacterial small subunit ribosomal RNA", at positions 156 to 656 of the family's 1533-position model. The record is from RNAcentral. Lineage: Bacteria; Bacillati; Actinomycetota; Actinomycetes; Bifidobacteriales; Bifidobacteriaceae.
ACGGGUGGUAAUGCCGGAUGCUCCAUCACACCGCAUGGUGUGUUGGGAAAGCCUUUGCGGCAUGGGAUGGGGUCGCGUCCUAUCAGCUUGAUGGCGGGGUAACGGCCCACCAUGGCUUCGACGGGUAGCCGGCCUGAGAGGGCGACCGGCCACAUUGGGACUGAGAUACGGCCCAGACUCCUACGGGAGGCAGCAGUGGGGAAUAUUGCACAAUGGGCGCAAGCCUGAUGCAGCGACGCCGCGUGAGGGAUGGAGGCCUUCGGGUUGUAAACCUCUUUUGUUAGGGAGCAAGGCAUUUUGUGUUGAGUGUACCUUUCGAAUAAGCACCGGCUAACUACGUGCCAGCAGCCGCGGUAAUACGUAGGGUGCAAGCGUUAUCCGGAAUUAUUGGGCGUAAAGGGCUCGUAGGCGGUUCGUCGCGUCCGGUGUGAAAGUCCAUCGCUUAACGGUGGAUCCGCGCCGGGUACGGGCGGGCUUGAGUGCGGUAGGG